AGUCGAAGCGGCAGCACGGGUACUUGUACCUGGUGGCGAGCGGCGGACGGGUGAGUAAUGCCUAGGAAUCUGCCUGGUAGUGGGGGAUAACGCUCGGAAACGGACGCUAAUACCGCAUACGUCCUACGGGAGAAAGCAGGGGACCUUCGGGCCUUGCGCUAUCAGAUGAGCCUAGGUCGGAUUAGCUAGUUGGUGAGGUAAUGGCUCACCAAGGCGACGAUCCGUAACUGGUCUGAGAGGAUGAUCAGUCACACUGGAACUGAGACACGGUCCAGACUCCUACGGGAGGCAGCAGUGGGGAAUAUUGGACAAUGGGCGAAAGCCUGAUCCAGCCAUGCCGCGUGUGUGAAGAAGGUCUUCGGAUUGUAAAGCACUUUAAGUUGGGAGGAAGGGCAGUUACCUAAUACGUGAUUGUUUUGACGUUACCGACAGAAUAAGCACCGGCUAACUCUGUGCCAGCAGCCGCGGUAAU
This 472-nucleotide ribosomal RNA is filed under the name uncultured bacterium. Its description in RNAcentral is "bacterial SSU rRNA". It matches the Rfam family "Bacterial small subunit ribosomal RNA", at positions 60 to 524 of the family's 1533-position model. The record is from RNAcentral.